UACGUAGGAGGCAAGCGUUGUCCGGAUUUACUGGGCGUAAAGAGCGCGCAGGCGGUCGUUCAAGUCGAGUGUGAAAGCCCCCGGCUCAACUGGGGAGGGUCAUUCGAUACUGAUCGACUUGAAGGCAGGAGAGGGAAGCGGAAUUCCCGGUGUAGUGGUGAAAUGCGUAGAUAUCGGGAGGAACACCAGUGGCGAAGGCGGCUUCCUGGCCUGUUCUUGACGCUGAGGCGCGAAAGCUAGGGGAGCAAACGGG
RNAcentral lists this ribosomal RNA (253 nucleotides) under uncultured bacterium. RNAcentral describes it as "partial 16S ribosomal RNA". It matches the Rfam family "Bacterial small subunit ribosomal RNA", at positions 524 to 776 of the family's 1533-position model. The record is from RNAcentral.